UCAAAUCCUCCCUUUGGUAUAUAAGCUCAAUACCGUACCCCACCCCAAGCCAGUACCCCCUCUUAGCCAUCUCUCUAACCUCAGAGAGCCUCCCUAUAGCUUCGCCCCCAACCACCGAGCUCCGCCCACCGGGAAUCGCCUCAGGGCGGUUACGUUGGUCCAAACCACCCCCACCGUCACCCAAUAGAACCGCCUCACCUUCCUCUCUUAGAAUGUACCCUUUGCUUUCUUCGAUCAUCCCUGACCUUUUCGAACAUCAGAUCGAUGAUCAGCCGGAAAACACGACCUCUCUGAUGACCACCAAACUCACACCAUCGAACCCCCACGACCCCCUCACUCCACUCCCGUGCUCACUUUCCUUCGAAUCAAACUGGUUCGUCUUGAAUCUUGAUUCCAAUUCAAGAACCCUAGCCGCCGCCACAAGACCCCAGUGGCGGCGGCGCCUCCUUCUGACCUCAAAUCCACACCCCAUCACCAUUAGACCUCCCUCAUCCCAUACCUAGCUCCAUUUCCCUUCAAAUAUCACCCCAACUCCCUGAACACUAAAUCACAGAAAACCCCCGACUUUGAUUCGAAGUCCGAAUUUGGUCUGAGAGGGUCCAUUUGGUUUGAAUUGGAUUUUAGCCGCGUGUUUUCAUGUUGAAAACACACGGUUAAAAUCUGUUUCAAAUCCAAAUCAAAAGAGGGACGAAUGGCAGUGUUUUAGUCCCGCUUUAAUUUUUGAGUAAUUGUUUUCCAGACCUCACCUGGUGGGAGUAUAUUGGGUAGUUGUUGUUGUUGUUUUCAAUUCCUUUUCCUUUUAUUUUUGCUUGUUUAGCUUUCGUCUCAAUUUCAUUGUUUCUUCUUCUCCUUCUUCAUUUCUGUUUCUGAUUCUGUAAUUGAACCGUGUCUGUUUGUGUGAGAUUAACUCGUCAGUAUUUGAAUUUGCUUAAUUUGUUUAAUUCUGGCCAAUAUUUGAAUUGCUUAAUUGAGUCGUUCAUCGAAUCGAACUGUUUGAUCGAUUAAAAUGUCAUGAGUUGGUCAUUAGUUUCUGUAUCAAUCUUUUGAUUAAUUUAGGAACUGUUUAAUUAAUGAAUUUAAGAUAAGAGGGGUUGCUCUGAUGGUAAGCAACCCCACUUCCAACCGAGAGGUUGUUAAUUCGAGUCUCCCCAAGAGCAAGGUCGUAAGUUCUUGAAGGGAAGGAUGCCGGUGGUCUAUUUGGAAACAGCCUCUCUACCCAAGGGUAGGGGUAAGGUCUGCGUACACACUACCCUCCCCACACCCCAUUAAAUGGAAUUAUACUGAGUUGUCGUUGUUGUCAUCAUAAGGUACAUGCAAAAACUUUCUUCUUUUAAGUGUCAUUGUCUUCAAAUUGGUGGAACGGUAGAUGGAUAUUCAUUUAGGUAUAGCUGAAAUUAAAGUGGUUGUAUAAUUAAAUAUACCAAGGGAUUACAUGGACUUAAUUAAGGGUCUCAUUUUCCUCUUUUUGACAUACAUAAAUUUAACUAUCAAAGACAAAGCAAACACAGAUUUUUGCUUUUGUUUUUAUUUUUGUUUCUCCUUUUCUCCACUGAGCCGAGGGUCGAUUGGAAANNNNNNNNNNNNNNNNNNNNNNNNNNNNNNNNNNNNNNNNNNNNNNNNNNNNNNNNNNNNNNNNNNNNNNNNNNNNNNNNNNNNNNNUUUGCCCUUUCGGGUAGGGGUAAGGCUCGUCUACAUAUUACCCUCCCAGACCCCACCUGGUGGGACUAUACUGGGUAGUUGUUGUUGUUGUUGUUAGUAGGAAAAAAAAAAAGAAAAUGAGAAAGUCCAAGACCAAUUAAAUAUUCAAAUUAAGGUCUCUUUGGCAGCUCUACGACACCAGUAAAAUAAAAAAGUGCAGUCACUCCCUCUCCAACAAGCAUAAUGCCUAUUACUAAUUUGAGGUCAAGUACUUUGGGGAUAUCCAGUAAUGUGAGUUCAUUAAAUGUGUGUAGCAAACUAGCAAAAAGGAUAGUUCAACCUACCCAUAUGUGACAUAAGGCUCCACCUUUAGCAGAAUUUCCAAUAUUCUUGCAUCUGCCUUCACAAAGACACCACUGAAGAUUUUCCGCAGCCUCAAAGAGUACAAAAGCUUUCGCGUUCUUGGGUGCAUAUCACUUUUCCUGAAGUGAAUCACAAAUCUUAGGAUCCAAGUUACCUUAGCCAAGAAGUAAAGAAUGAUUGGAAAACCAGGAACUCACCCUCCAAUGCGUAUGACAUAAAGGAGAUUGGAAUCAGACGUGACCAAUGCUCGCCUGGAUCUUUUCUUACCCCUUUGUUUCAUUUGGACAAGGUUCAUCUCCUAGAUAUACAUACAACAGCUCGGUUGAGAAGAAUGUUGGACAAACAAUAUACAACAAUUCAUAAAUUGGAUUACUGCAAGCCAACUGUAGGCGAGCUCCAUGAAUGGCUGUAGCAGUAGAAAGAGCAAGUGACGCGAAAAGGAAGACUAACAUGACAACUUCCAAAGGCAACCUAACAUUAAGCAAAUAUACAAGAGCCACAGGAUGCAAGGGUAAUGGGCAUCCAGUAUUAGUUGCUGAAUGGAAUUUUGAGUGGAAAACAAUGUGGUUUGUCAGACAUGCCUGACUCAACUUGUCCAUAUUUGUUUAGUUUAUAAAAAGAGAACACUUUAAUAAUAAAAGAGGGGGUUGUCAGGGGAAUCGCAGGAGAAUACACUCCUGAGUGGGAAAACAGAGGGAAUACAAUGGGAAGAUAAUCCGUUUUUAAUGAACUGAGUGCAAAAACAUGUUGGAAAGAGGUUCUAGUUUGGUUAUAAAAGAAAGGGAUCAGGGCAGAUUAAGGACAUUUUUUUUGUGCAUCAGUUUUAGAGUCUUUUGAAAAUCAGAAAAGCUUAGAGAGAAAAAGACUGUUCCAUUGUCUCCUCUUGAGUUUAUUUUUCAACUGAAUUUCAGUUUCUAAAAGCUCUUGAAAAACCAGAAUAGUGCUUCGAACUAGAGGUUUUUUUUAGUCAGUUGUUUGAGAGUUUUUGGGAGGAGUUUCUUUUGAAAAUCUAAUCAGUUCUUAGAGUUGGCUUUCUUCGGUGCUUUAAGUCAUUUUUCAGUUGUGAGAAAAGUACUGUUCUAUUGAGAAAGACUGUUCCAUUGAGAAAUUGUGAACUUUGGUUAUUUGUUUUCCAUAACUUGUUGGGUUGUCUGGUUAAAUCACUGUUGGUUGAAGUUCAGAAUCUUAUUUCAAGUAGCUUUGGGUCCAAUUAAACUAGUUUCAGUACGAGUAGUGGUCAGUUGACAUUCCAAGUGUUGCUGGGUAUCUUCAAGCCUAAACUCGUCGCUAAUUCUGGGGUUAUUUGCUAGUUAUGUUGCUGUUGCUUUCUGUGUUACUAUUGCCAUAUUGUUGUUGCUGACUUCUUCUUCCAUUGUAAACAUCUCCAGGUACACCUCUGUACUAUUCAGGCAUUGUGAAAUGAAAUGAAGCAUGGACCAAACCUCUGCUGCUGCAUUUUUUUUUUAGCUUUGCUUGUUAGUUUCGGUCAGUCAAUUGAUGCCUAAUUAUUUAGUUUGAUUGGUUUGAGUUGUAGUAGACAUGGAAUUGUUAAUUAGAACUAUUUCUAGUUCAUAUAAGUUUCCUAGAAAACUGUAUUGGAAAUUGAAUUGUAUAGCGGAUAGUAGUUAUAGUUUAUGAACAAAAGUUGGCUUUUU
This 3656-nucleotide long non-coding RNA is filed under the name Nicotiana benthamiana. RNAcentral describes it as "long non-coding RNA (NBEN_LNC038946)". The record is from RNAcentral. Lineage: Eukaryota; Viridiplantae; Streptophyta; Magnoliopsida; Solanales; Solanaceae.